Molecule: ribosomal RNA, 420 nt
Filed under: uncultured bacterium
Lineage: Bacteria
Description: bacterial SSU rRNA
Rfam family: Bacterial small subunit ribosomal RNA
Source: RNAcentral
UGGGGAAUCUUGCGCAAUGGCCGAAAGGCUGACGCAGCGACGCCGCGUGUGGGAGGACGCCUUUCGGGGUGUAAACCACUGUUGCCCGGGACGAACAUCCAGUUUCGACUGGACUGACGGUACCGGGUGAGGAAGCACCGGCUAACUCCGUGCCAGCAGCCGCGGUAAUACGGAGGGUGCGAGCGUUGUCCGGAAUCAUUGGGCGUAAAGGGCGCGUAGGUGGCCCGGCAAGCGUGCGGUGAAAGCUCGGGGCUCAACCCCGAGUCGGCCGUGCGAACUGCGGGGCUCGAGCACUGUAGAGGCAGGCGGAAUUCCGGGUGUAGCGGUGGAAUGCGUAGAGAUCCGGAAGAACACCGGUGGCGAAGGCGGCCUGCUGGGCAGUGGCUGACACUGAGGCGCGACAGCGUGGGGAGCAAACAG